Molecule: small nuclear RNA, 107 nt
Organism: Dipodomys ordii (Ord's kangaroo rat)
Lineage: Eukaryota; Metazoa; Chordata; Mammalia; Rodentia; Heteromyidae
Source: Ensembl
GUGCUCAAUUUAGCAUCACUUACACUAACAUUGGAUUCAUACAGAGAAGAUUAGCAUGCACCCUGUACAAGGAUGACAUGCAAAUUCUUGGAGCGUUCCAUAUUUUU